RNAcentral lists this transfer RNA (73 nucleotides) under Candidatus Gugararchaeum adminiculabundum. Its description in RNAcentral is "tRNA-Gln(ttg)". It matches the Rfam family "tRNA". Rfam says of the family: Transfer RNA (tRNA) molecules are approximately 80 nucleotides in length. Their secondary structure includes four short double-helical elements and three loops (D, anti-codon, and T loops). Further hydrogen bonds mediate the characteristic L-shaped molecular structure. tRNAs have two regions of fundamental functional importance: the anti-codon, which is responsible for specific mRNA codon recognition, and the 3' end, to which the tRNAs corresponding amino acid is attached (by aminoacyl-tRNA synthetases). tRNAs cope with the degeneracy of the genetic code in two manners: having more than one tRNA (with a specific anti-codon) for a particular amino acid; and 'wobble' base-pairing, i.e. permitting non-standard base-pairing at the 3rd anti-codon position. Lineage: Archaea; Nanobdellati; Microcaldota; Candidatus Micrarchaeia; Candidatus Gugararchaeales; Candidatus Gugararchaeaceae. The record is from RNAcentral.
AGCCCCGUCGUCUAGUGGCCAAGGAUAGGAGGCUUUGAACCUUCUGACAGCGGUUCGACUCCGCUCGGGGCUA